AGCAGCAUGGCGCAGUGGUAGCGCGCGGGGCCCAUAUCCCAGUAUUGGUCAAGGUUACCCCGAGGUCACUUGAUCGAAACAAGUUGCUGCUA
Rhodocollybia butyracea is the source of this 92-nucleotide non-coding RNA. Lineage: Eukaryota; Fungi; Basidiomycota; Agaricomycetes; Agaricales; Omphalotaceae. The record is from the annotation of a GenBank genome assembly.